AUGGUUCCUUGGGGACAUCCCAGUGUCACCAUGGUGGCCCCUGAGGACACAGUGUCACCUCGAUGGCUCCUUGGGGACAUUUUAUUGUCACCAUGGUGGCCCUUGGGGACAGAUUGUCCUUGUGGUGGCUCCUUGGGGACAUCUCAGUGCCACCGUGGUGACCCUUGGGGACACGGUGCCACCAACCCAGAUCCUUGGGGACACCACUGUCACCGUGGUGGCCCUUGGGGACACCACAUUGUCCUGGUGGUGGCUCCUUGGGGACACCUCAGUGCCACCAUGGUGGCUCCUUGGGGACACCACUGUCACCACAGUGGCCCUUGGGGACACGUUGUGCUGGUGGCGGCUCCUUGGGGACAUCCCAGUGUCACCGUGGUGGCCUUUGGAGACACCACUGUCACCUCGAUGGCUCCUUGGGGACAUCUCAGUGCCACCGUGGUGGCCCCUGGGGACACGUUGUCCUUGUGGUGGCCCUUGAGGACAGCAUCGUGCCACUGUGGUGGCUCCUUGGGGACAUCUCAGUGUCACUGUGGUGGCUCCUUGGGGACAGCACCGUGUGCCCACAGUCUGUCCUGGUGUCACCUGGUGUCCCCUGGUGCCAUCCCGGUGCCACCUGUCCAUGUCCUGGUGCCACCUGGUGCCAUUUUGGUGUCACCUGGUGCCAUCCUGGUGCCAUUCUCGUGUCACCUGUCUGUCCUGGUGCCAUCCUGGUGCCAUCCUGGUGUCACCUGCUGCCAUUUUGGUGUCACCUGCUGCCAUCCCAGUGUCACCUGUCCAUCUUGGUGCCAUCUUGGUGCCAUUUCGGUGUCGCCUGGCCACGUCCUGGGCCACCCUGAUGUCACCUGGUGCCAUCCUGGAGCCAUUUUGGUGUCACCUGUCCAUCUCAGUGCCAUUCAGUGCCACCUGUCCACCCCAGUGUCCCCUGAUGCCAUUUUGGUGCCAUCCUGGUGUCCCCUGGUGCCAUCUUGGUGCCAUUUGGCGUCACCUGGUGCCAUCUCGGUGCCAUCCUGGUGCCACCUGGUGCCAUCCCAGUGUCCCCUGGUGCCAUUUUGGUGGCAUCUUGGUGUCAUUUCGGUGUCACCUGGCCAUGUCCUGGGCCAUCCCAGCGUCCCCUGGUGCCAUCUUGGCUCCAUUUUGGUGUCACCUGGUUCCAUUUGGUGUCACCUGGUGCCAUCCCAGUGUCACCUGUCCAUCUCAGUGCCAUCCUGGUCCCACCUGGUGCCAUCUUGGUGUCAUUUCGGUGUCACCUGUCCGUGUCCUGGGCCAUCCUGGUGUCACCUGGUGCCAUCCUGGUGCCAUUUUGGUGUCACUUGUCCAUCCCAGUGUCCCCUGGUGCCAUUUUGG
This 1344-nucleotide long non-coding RNA is filed under the name Zonotrichia albicollis (white-throated sparrow). Its description in RNAcentral is "lncRNA (ENSZALG00000000547.1)". The record is from RNAcentral. Lineage: Eukaryota; Metazoa; Chordata; Aves; Passeriformes; Passerellidae.